CAACGGCGAGGGGCUACGUGAGUUUCCGCUGUGUGCGACGCGUCCUUGCCCGCUCUUCCCAAACUGCACGGCCAAUGGGGUGCCGGGAGGCGGGGUAGGGGCGGGCCAAUCGACGCGUUCCACGACU
Molecule: non-coding RNA, 127 nt
Organism: Caenorhabditis elegans
Lineage: Eukaryota; Metazoa; Nematoda; Chromadorea; Rhabditida; Rhabditidae
Source: Ensembl